GAUGAACGCUAGCGGCAGGCCUAAUACAUGCAAGUCGAACGGGAUCUGAGGGUAGCUUGCUACCCGAUUUGAGAGUGGCGCACGGGUGCGUAACGCGUGAGCAACCUACCCAUAUCAGGGGGAUAGCCCGAAGAAAUUCGGAUUAACACCGCAUAAUAAUACGCUAACACAUGUUGAUGUAUUUAAAUAUUUACAGGAUAUGGAUGGGCUCGCGUGACAUUAGCUAGUUGGUAAGGUAACGGCUUACCAAGGCGACGAUGUCUAGGGGCUCUGAGAGGAGAAUCCCCCACACUGGUACUGAGACACGGACCAGACUCCUACGGGAGGCAGCAGUAAGGAAUAUUGGUCAAUGGGCGCAAGCCUGAACCAGCCAUGCCGCGUGCAGGAUGACUGCCCUAUGGGUUGUAAACUGCUUUUGUUAGGGAAUAAACCUUCUUACGUGUAAGGAGCUGAAUGUACCUAAAGAAUAAGGAUCGGCUAACUCCGUGCCAGCAGCCGCCGCGG
Molecule: ribosomal RNA, 504 nt
Filed under: uncultured bacterium
Lineage: Bacteria
Description: partial 16S ribosomal RNA
Rfam family: Bacterial small subunit ribosomal RNA
Source: RNAcentral